RNAcentral lists this ribosomal RNA (474 nucleotides) under uncultured bacterium. RNAcentral describes it as "bacterial SSU rRNA". It matches the Rfam family "Bacterial small subunit ribosomal RNA", at positions 335 to 798 of the family's 1533-position model. The record is from RNAcentral.
ACUCCUACGGGAGGCAGCAGUAGGGAAUCUUCGGCAAUGGGGGCAACCCUGACCGAGCAACGCCGCGUGAGUGAAGAAGGUUUUCGGAUCGUAAAGCUCUGUUGUAAGAGAAGAACGAGUGUGAGAGUGGAAAGUUCACACUGUGACGGUAACUUACCAGAAAGGGACGGCUAACUACGUGCCAGCAGCCGCGGUAAUACGUAGGUCCCGAGCGUUAUCCGGAUUUAUUGGGGCGUAAAGCGAGCGCAGGCGGUUAGAUAAGUCUGAAGUUAAAGGCUGUGGCUUAACCAUAGUACGCUUUGGAAACUGUUUAACUUGAGUGCAGAAGGGGAGAGUGGAAUUCCAUGUGUAGCGGUGAAAUGCGUAGAUAUAUGGAGGAACACCGGUGGCGAAAGCGGCUCUCUGGUCUGUAACUGACGCUGAGGCUCGAAAGCGUGGGGAGCAAACAGGAUUAGAUACCCUGGUAGCGACUGA